RNAcentral lists this ribosomal RNA (491 nucleotides) under uncultured bacterium. RNAcentral describes it as "partial 16S ribosomal RNA". It matches the Rfam family "Bacterial small subunit ribosomal RNA", at positions 29 to 507 of the family's 1533-position model. The record is from RNAcentral.
AGUGAACGCUGGCGGUAGGCCUAACACAUGCAAGUCGAACGGCAGCACAGUAAGAGCUUGCUCUUACGGGUGGCGAGUGGCGGACGGGUGAGGAAUACAUCGGAAUCUACUUUUUCGUGGGGGAUAACGUAGGGAAACUUACGCUAAUACCGCAUACGACCUACGGGUGAAAGCAGGGGAUCUUCGGACCUUGCGCGAUUGAAUGAGCCGAUGUCGGAUUAGCUAGUUGGCGGGGUAAAGGCCCACCAAGGCGACGAUCCGUAGCUGGUCUGAGAGGAUGACAGGCAACAUUGAACUGGAGCACGGUCCAGACUCCUACGGGGGGGCGGAGUGGGGAAUAUUUGGCAAUGGGCGGCAGCCUUGUCCAACCCAAACGGGUUGGUUGAAGAAGGCUUUCGGGUGUUAAAGCCUUUUGGUUGGGAAAAAAAGCCACAAGGUAAAACCCCGCUGUUCUGACGGUACCCAAAGAAUAAGCACCGGCUAACUUCGUG